CGAAUGGGCACGGUGUGUUCGGCGUAAACCGCGUCGGCUCCAUUUAGUUCAUCGAACUCAUCCUGGGAACAUUGUGACAUCAUAUCGCUACGACACAACCAUCCAUACUACCCACCAAUGGUGAAUCUUGCAACCUCCUGAAUCGAGCAGCGUGCAUGAACCGACGUUGGUAUUUAUAAA
This is a non-coding RNA of Ciona intestinalis (vase tunicate), 180 nucleotides long. NCBI's taxonomy places the organism in Eukaryota, Metazoa, Chordata, Ascidiacea, Phlebobranchia, Cionidae. The record is from RefSeq and is a predicted model, not a curated record.